CCUUACGGAGGCAGCAGUGAGGAAUAUUGGACAAUGGGCGCAAGCUGAUCCAGCCAUGCCGCGUGCAGGAUGAAGCAUCUAUGGUGUGUAAACUGCUUUUAUACGGGAAGAAACCCUCGAACGUGUUCGAGAUUGACGGUACCGUAAGAAUAAGGACCGGCUAACUCCGUGCCAGCAGCCGCGGUAAUACGGAGGGUCCGAGCGUUAUCCGGAAUCAUUGGGUUUAAAGGGUCCGUAGGCGGCCCAGUAAGUCAGUGGUGAAAUCUCCCGGCUCAACCGGGAAAUUGCCAUUGAUACUGCUGGGCUUGAAUUACCAGGAAGUAACUAGAAUAUGUAGUGUAGCGGUGAAAUGCUUAGAGAUUACAUGGAAUACCAAUUGCGAAGGCAGGUUACUACUGGUGGAUUGACGCUGAUGCACGAAAGCGUGGGUAGCGAACAGGAUUAGAUACCCUGGUAGUCCACGCCGUAAACGAUGGAUACUAGCUGUUCGGAAGCAACUCUGAGUGUCUAAGCGAAA
RNAcentral lists this ribosomal RNA (517 nucleotides) under uncultured Bacteroidota bacterium. RNAcentral's name for it is "bacterial SSU rRNA". It matches the Rfam family "Bacterial small subunit ribosomal RNA", at positions 338 to 856 of the family's 1533-position model. Lineage: Bacteria; Pseudomonadati; Bacteroidota. The record is from RNAcentral.